GCUAGUAUAGCUCAAUUGGUAGAGCAGCUGAUUUGUAAUCAGCAGGCUAUGGGUUCAAGUCCCGUUACUAGCU
RNAcentral lists this transfer RNA (73 nucleotides) under Melanthalia intermedia. Its description in RNAcentral is "tRNA-Thr". It matches the Rfam family "tRNA". From Rfam's summary of the family: Transfer RNA (tRNA) molecules are approximately 80 nucleotides in length. Their secondary structure includes four short double-helical elements and three loops (D, anti-codon, and T loops). The record is from RNAcentral. Lineage: Eukaryota; Rhodophyta; Florideophyceae; Gracilariales; Gracilariaceae.